UGGGGAAUAUUGCACAAUGGACGAAAGUCUGAUGCAGCAACGCCGCGUGGAGGAUGACACAUUUCGGUGCGUAAACUCCUUUUAUGUGAGAAGAUAAUGACGGUAUCACAUGAAUAAGCACCGGCUAACUCCGUGCCAGCAGCCGCGGUAAUACGGAGGGUGCAAGCGUUACUCGGAAUCACUGGGCGUAAAGCGCGCGCAGGCGGCUUUGUAAGUUGGAUGUGAAAUCCUAUGGCUCAACCAUAGAACUGCAUCCAAAACUACUUAGCUAGAGUCUGGGAGGGGAAGAUGGAAUUAGUGGUGUAGGGGGUAAAAUCCGUAGAGAUCACUAGGAAUACCAAAAGCGAAGGCGAUCUUCUGGAACAGUACUGACGCUGAGGCGCGAAAGCGUGGGGAGCAAACA
This 403-nucleotide ribosomal RNA is filed under the name uncultured Sulfurovum sp. RNAcentral describes it as "bacterial SSU rRNA". It matches the Rfam family "Bacterial small subunit ribosomal RNA", at positions 355 to 774 of the family's 1533-position model. Lineage: Bacteria; Pseudomonadati; Campylobacterota; Epsilonproteobacteria; Campylobacterales; Sulfurovaceae. The record is from RNAcentral.